UUUUUUUUUUUUUUUGAGACGGGGUUUUGCUCUUGUUGCCUAGGCUGGAGUGCAACGGCGCAAUCUUGGCUCACUGCAACCUCUGCCUCCCAGGUUCAAAUGAUUCCCCUGCCUCAGCCUCCCGAGUUGGAAUUACAGGGGCCUGCCACCGUGCCCAGCUAAUUUUUGUAUUUUUAGUAGAGACGGGGUUUCACCAUGUUGGCUAGGCUGGUCUUGAACCCCUGACCUCAGGUGAUCCACCCACCUCGGCCUUCCAAAGUGCUGGGAUUACAGGCGUGAGCCACUGUGCCCGGCUGUUUUCAUUUCAGAGUACAAUUCACAGGCUAUGAUGACAUAGGAAGCCUAACUGACCAUGUCAUUAGGAGGGACCUUUACUCUCACCUGUGGCUUCACACUGGAGCAGUCAACAGUGGUAACUAUCCACACUGGUUCCAGCAGAAGCCUGAACAAGUCCCAGUACACUGACUUAUGAGACAUACAGGAAAUACUCAUAGACCCCCUCCUGGUUCUGAAGCUCCCUCCAUGGGGACAAAGCUGUCCUUGCCCUCUUGGGAAAUCAGUCUGAGGUUGCUGAAUAUUAUUGCUGGCUGUACAAGUUACUGGUAGUAGUAGUUAGUAGGUUUGUUAUACAAGUAGUAUGAGUUAGCAAUUAUGAAUCUAUGUAAUGUGCUCUCUAGAAUUGAGCAAAUAAGAAAAUAUAGUGUGGUUAAUGGGAGCUAGUUUUCUCAUUUUCUCGCUAAAAGACAAUAUAUAAUAUGAAAAAGCAGAAGGCCAGAAUGAAUCCAGGAGUGUUAGGAUUAUAUAGGGGAUAUCAGAAUCACCUCUUUCAAUAGAUACUUAUAGAAAUACUAUACACACAUAUACACAGUAUAUAUGAGAACCCAAUGACAGGGUUCUUUUACAAGGCCAAGUACAGAAUAUAAAAAUUUGCAUAUAAAGGUUAUGUUAUUACCACCAGGAAGUGAAUGUAGACACUAGAACCUAGAAGGGAAGUUUCCUGGCUUCUCUUGAGCAUUUUGAUUCUUCCAAACCAAAGAAGUUCUAGGUAUAGUUAUAUCCUGAGACCAGAACACCAAGUCCUGACUCAGGCUUCUAAGGAGCAUAUUAUGCACAUUUCAUGCUGUACUUACCCUAUUGUAGCAGCUAUCACGGUUCAUUUAAAUUGCCAAUUUACCGAUGUAGACAUGGCUGUAUGCCCCAAGAAUGGCAUACUGACAGGUUUAGUAGAUCGAAUUAUUAGCUCCAAACAUUACUCCUACCUGUGUCUGUGUAUGUUUGUCAUGUGACUUAUCCCCCUUGACUUUGUGCUUGGCCCUGUACUCACUUUGGGUAAUGGAACAUUUGUGGACCUUAUACAAGCUUAAGCUUAAACGUCCUGGCACCAUUUGGCUUGCCCUCUUUUGCUACUCUCAUUACUAAGAUCUUGUCCUGGAUAGCUUUUGGCGCUUCAGGCUGGGUUUCCAAAUAAACACGUGUGAGUAAAAAUGCUGGUAUUUGUGAUUGUUACAUGGCAAUAUAUGAAUGAUACAUCUAUCAUAAAGCAGACCCUCGAUGUUGGUGUGGUGAGUGAACACACACAGGCACAAUUGUAUGUAUGUAGAUCCCUCUCCUGCAGAGGGCAGUCAUCAAUAUCACCAACUUAACUAAGAGGGGAAGAGUCUUAUUUGGUGCAGUCUCUCUAAUUCCAAGAGCAGUGGAGAAGUCUAACACCAGGGCAGUGAGCAUGAGCAUCUGAACAAUCCUUCCUUUUAUGCUGGCCCUGACACAUCGUAACAGGCCAAGAAACCUGGAAGUGCCUCCCUGGAGGCAGCUGGGAGAGUGAUGAGAGAUCGGGCUACGUGGGUGAUUUAUUUAUAUUCUUCUAUUGUCUAAGAUGGAUAUGUUUAUUUAAAAUUGGAAACGACUGCUAUAAUUAAAGCAUUGAAUAAAACUAAAAUUUUUAAUUAAGAAUUAAAAAUGUAUAUAUUCUCCAACAUCCUACCUGUCAAAGAAAAUUACAGGUGGUUAUUAAAUUGUCAGAUAAAAGAAAAACUUUCAGAGCAAAGGAAAGAAAUGAAUAUUUAUAAUCUCCAAGCAUUGCAUGUAUAUUUUCUCUAAUUCUACCAUUUGGCUACAUUUUUAAGGUGCCCUAAAAUUUGAUUUUUUUUUUUAAUUUUCUUUUGCUUUCCAAUUCUCAUUAUUGCCCAUGAAGUCCCAUCUUUAAUUUUUUUAACAACAAAAUAUUAGGAGAAAAUUAAUCAUCAUUUAAUCUAUUUUUUUUUUUUAAUUUUUGAGAUGGGGUCUUGCUCUGUCAUCCAGGGUGGAGUGCAGUGGCACAAUCAUGGCUCAUUGCAGCCUCUACCUCUGGAGCUCAAGUGAUCCUCCUACCUCAGCCUGCCAGGUAGCUGGGACUAUAGGUGUGUACCACCACACCUGGUUCAGUUUUUAAAAUUUGUGUAGAGAUGGGGUCUCACUGUGUUGCUGAGGCUGGUCUCAAACUCCUAGGCUCAAGUAAUCCUCCCACCUCAGCCUCCCAACGUGCUGGGAUUAUAGGUGUGAGCAAUAAUCAUUUAAUCUAAAAUUCUCUCAGAUGAGUAGGUAUGGGAACAUUUUUUAAAAAUAAUAAUAAUAUUAAAAUAAUAAUAUAAUCUAAAACCCUCAUUUCACAUAUCUCAGGCCCAAAUUUUCAUCCAUCCAUCCAUACAUUCAUCAAUUCAUUCACUCAACCAUCAAACAUUUAUAUUUUUGGUUUUUUUGGACACAGAGUCUUGCUUUGUCACCUAGGCUGGAGUGCAUUGGCGCGACCUCUGCUCACUGCAGCCUCUGCCUCCCAGGUUCAAGUGAUUCUCCUGCCUCAGUCUCCCAUGUAACUGGGACUACAGGUGCAUGCCACCACGCCUGGCAACUUUUUAAAAAAAUUUUUAGUAGAGACGGGGUUUCGCCAUGUUAGACAAGAUGGCCUCGAUCUCCUGACCUCGUGAUCCGCCCACCUCUGUCUCUCAAAGGGCUGGGAUUACAGGUGUGAGCCACCACAGCUGGCCCAUCAAGCAUUUAUUAAGGGCCCAUUCUGGGUGACCUAUUAUGUUAGGUUGGACUGUGACGGUAUAAAUACAGGACAAAUGAGAAGGGUUCCUUCUGUCAAGGAUAACACAUUCAAAGAUACUAGGAAUAAAAUAAAAACUUCUAUGCUAAUUACUAUUAUAGAGAAUUACCAAAUUUUUGAAAGCUCAACUAAUAAAGCAACCACCCUUUUCUGGAUAUAUCAAGAAAGUGUCUGCCUUGGAUGUGGGGUCUUAGAAAAAGAAGAGUAAGUAUGGAGGGAAUGAGGUCAUCUCCAACAGAGGAACUGUGUGAUGGUAUGGACUACAUAUUUCUGUCACCCCCAAAAUUCUUAGAUUGAAACCCUAACCCCCCAAUGUGAUAGUAUUUGGAGGUAGAGCCUUUGUGAAAUCAUUAGGUUUAGAAGAGGACAUGAGAGUGGAGCCCUCAUGAUAGAAUUAGUGUCCUUAUAAGAAGAAAAGGAGACUAGAGCUUUCCGCCAUGCGAGGCUACAGAGAAGAAAGGUGCCAUCUACAAGCCAGAAAGUGGACCCUCACCAAGAACCAAAUCUGCAGACACCUUAAUCUUAGACUUCCCAGCCUCCAGAGCUAUGAGAAAUAAAAGUUCGUUGUUUAAGCCACCCAGUCUUUGCUAUUUUUCUUAUAGCGGCCUGAACUAAGACAGCCUGGCAAACACAGGAAAGGAAGUUAUAAAAGGGCACCCACGGACUGGGCGCAGUGGCUUACGCCUGUAAUCUCAGCACUUUAGGAGGCCGAGGCAGGCAGAUCACUUGAGGCCAAGGAGUUCGAAACCAGCCUGGCCAACAUGGUGAAACUUCGUCCCUACGAAAAAUACAAAAAUUAGCCGGGGGUGGCGGUGGGAGCCUGUAAUCCCAGCUGCUCAGGAGGCUGAGGCAGGAGAAUCGCUUUAGCCCAGGAGGUGGCGGUUGCAGUGAGCCAAGAUUGCUCCACUGCAUGCCAGCCUGGGUGAU
Molecule: long non-coding RNA, 4009 nt
Filed under: Macaca fascicularis (crab-eating macaque)
Lineage: Eukaryota; Metazoa; Chordata; Mammalia; Primates; Cercopithecidae
Description: lncRNA (ENSMFAG00000059782.1)
Source: RNAcentral